Molecule: long non-coding RNA, 5269 nt
Organism: Lotus japonicus
Lineage: Eukaryota; Viridiplantae; Streptophyta; Magnoliopsida; Fabales; Fabaceae
Exons: 12
Source: RefSeq, a predicted model, not a curated record
UUCUCAAAUUAGUUAGGUUUUUAACAUUAUCUGCAAGCGAUUUUUUUUUUCUUCACACACGCGCGAUCCUUACCUCUCGCCCUUCAACUUCAUAAUCACACCCCUUCUUCUGUUUGUAGAUUUUGCAAUCUUCUCAUCUCCGUUUGUAUGCUCCGUUGGAUGAGUUCGUUCGAUUAGCUUCAUCUUCGUUUUCAUCUGAAGGAACUUCUUCGUGAUGACUUUUCAUCUGGUGCCAUAUUUUUCAUUAUUGAUACUUGUGGGAUAAUUCAGGCAGCAUAUAGGUUUCUGAAAUUUGGUUCAUCCAUCCUUGCAUUCUGGUCAAAGAGCUCGGUAAUGGUGGAUGUUGGUUGUUUCUUGGGGUGAAUGGGCAUUGGAGCAUCUGUGCAAGUUUAUGAUUUACGUAACUUUGACAAACCAAUUCAGUCAAAGAAACAAUACAGCUGUACACAAUUGGGAUCUGUCGCUUCUAUUCCUUGUGCAAGUGUAACACCAAGCAUGCAGUCAAGUAACUAUGCUGCAAAAUUUUAUAGGAGCUUUUUCCAUCUAGAUUUGUAGUUGCGUUUCAGGGGAGGCCUGGCUCUUGGGAGUCUAUUCUCUUACGGGUACCCUUGUUGUCUUCAGCUGCAGUUGUAUUGUCUUCCUCUAGCUCCUAAGCCGCUAACUGAUAUUCCCACCUUAUGGAGGAGGCUAGAGUGAGGUAAGACCAUGAUUAGCUUUGAUGCAUUGGUGUCGUCAUCGUUGGUUGCGAGUUUUGGUUUUCUUGUUGGAAUAAAUUUCAACAUAUAGGGCCACACAUGUAAUUAUCAAAAUGUGUAGCCAUUGUUUAUAAUAGCAUAUAUAAAGUGAUCUAAUUUGGAAUUAAGGUUUUAAGGACUAAGGGGUAUAAUUGUCAUGGAAAUUAUUGCGUAGAGGCAAAAGUGAUAGUCAUCAUGGUGUUGAGAAACAUCUAUAAACACUACAAAGGAAGAACUUAUUUACUACUGUUCACUAGGAGAGUUUCAUACCAUGUGUGUUGGUCCACUAUAAGGCAAUGUGUGGGUUUUUUUGUUUUUGCUUUAUCUGAUUUUUUUUGGUCAUUUUUUCUACUUUUCUGAUCAUGAACCGUUGUUUUUUUCUCCCAUGUGAUGAAGGUCUAUUUUAAGCUUAUUAUGUGGUUACUUUAUGUUCCUUUAGUUGGUUGUAAAGAACUUUAUUUGCCUUUUUACCGCUUUUCUGAUUACUUUUCAUGUUUUUUUCAUCUUCUCUGGUAUCUAAUGUUACUUUUGAAGGAAAACUGAACUUUUGAGCAUACUUUUUGAUAGUUUUAACCCAUUAUAAUUCUUCUUCUCCGUCUAUUUAAUCCCUCCAACCACCCACAUUUCAAGCUUUUUGUUCAUCAUAGAAGAUUCUUGAAGCUUUCUCUGCUCUCUCAGCCACGAUGAUUUUUCCAGCUUCAACAAUGGUGUUUUCGGUUGGCAAUCGCCUCAUUCUUGCUCCACAACUUCAAUCUUUCACAUCUGGUUCAUGAUUUAUGUUCUCUGAUUUGGUAUCUGGUUCUGGUUUUCAACGCUGCCUCCAGAUUCGCGUUCUAAUCGCGAUUCAGAUUUGGGCAUUGGGAUUUUCGUUUCUUUUUUCUUCUUCACAACUUCCUGAUUGUGCCUGAUGAAAGAUCAAGCGAAUGCUUACUACCUUCAUCCUUCGGAUAAUCUUGGUUUGCUCGCACAUUGAGGAGGCUGCAUCCGGUGAUGUACAAUGCCAGAUGAUAGACAUGACGCAUCCAAGAGUUGUUCCAAUGCACAAGGUGAAUUUUGAUGCAAAGAUGGAGUAUGAUAAGAUCCAGAAUUACAAAAUUCUGCAGGACGUGUUCAACAAGCUGAAAAUUGACAAGAUCACAUAUUUUUUAUUAAUGCUUCCUUUUACCCUUCACUCAACACCAAUGUAUACUCUCAAGCAUGCACUGGCACACUACAAUUUUGGGAAUAAUCUCUUUAGGCAGGUUGUAUAAGGCUACAUUAGAAAUUAAGUAAAGGAGCUCCUCCCUUACACCAUCACGGAAGCCCUUUCCUACAAAAACUGCCCCGCCUUCAUCCACUGCACAUUGCAGCUAGACAAGGCAAUCAAGGUGUUGAACUUAUCGAACAAUACCAGUGGAGGAGAGGGAGAUUGUCUGGUGCUAGGGCAGUGGAGUCAAAACAACUAUGGGUCUGAUGAAACCCUGAUAUUAUUCAACAGAAAAAUGUACAGGAAACAGAUGAGUAUUCGAGAGACUCAUCACUCUCCUAAUUCCCAAUUCCCAAAUGAUCCCAAAGAUACUAAACCCUCUUUACACUCCCUUAUUUAUAGGCUAAGCCUUAACAAACUAACUAACUCUAUGGUAACUAACUAACUGACUCCAACUUCCAAGUACUCAUCAAUACUCGCCCCUAAACAUCCACCUUGUCCUCAAGGUGGAGUAAAAACAUAGAAAAGUAAACAUAGCAGAAAACAUGCAAAAUUGGGCCAAUGCUGCAUUCUUAGGCCCACUCGCAGUCCUUGGCCAGGUUGUUUUUUUUUUUGUGCCACCUCCUGCCAGGCUCCAACUCUUUCCAUGAAUGGAUUGGGCUUGGCCCAUUCGAAUUGGGAGGGGUUCAACUGGAGCCUUCUCACUCGGGCCCACUUCCCUCACGUGCCGAGCUUGAACCUCGCAAGGAGCCAGCGGCUGAUACCCAAACCCGUAUCUUCCCCACUUCAGUUUCCUUUCUUCCACCGCCGUAACUGCAGGGUCCGGUGGCUUCGCCGGCGGCCGUAAGGUGGUUACCGGCGUGCAACGUCUCUCCUCCUCGCGAAUCACAGGGCCUUGCCGAAGAUGAUAUGUGAACCACCGCCACGGUGGUUUGGCGAUUCCGCCACCGUUCGAUUGGCGACCUCCGAUGAACAAAGAAUUGAGGUUCCGCGGUCGAUUGACGGUUACCGCCUUGCGACGCCGUGAAUCAGGUGGUUUCCGCGGCUGCCUUCUCUUCCAAUCGAACCCUAGUUCAGUAAUUUGGGAAAAAACGGUUGAUUGAACCCUCUUCCUCCCUUGAAGGUUGCGAGUCUGCGAUUUCUCCCUUAGCGCACCUUCCUUCAACCUCUUGAUGAAGAUUUCCCCCUCGGCGUCGAUCUUCUCCCCUUUCGCCGUCAACGUGCAAUCGAUGAAAUCAACCACGGUGACCGGUUGACACCGUGACUCCUCCGCUGUUUGCUCCGUCUCAGAAUUCUCCGGCGAAUAUGGCUUGAUCUCUGAUUUCGCCAACCGCACUGAAUUGGCCUCAGGUUUGGCUUCCACCACAACAGUUCUUCGUUCUGCCUCCAAGACUUCUUGCUUCCUAGGGAUUUCUUCCUCCUCUGAAUCUUGGACUGGUUCUGGCAUGUACGGUUCCAAUUCUGGUUCGAAUCUCCUCAACAGAGCCUCCACAAAUUCCCACCAUGUUGCCUUUUGAUUGCGUCUUCUCCAGCAAAACCACCACAUGAAAGCUUCACCAGUCAAAGCCUUCUCUGCCUCUAAGAAUUUCUCCUCUGCGGAUACUCCCUUGGACUCACAAUGUUGCUCCACCAUGAUGAGCCAUCCGUAGGCCUCCCUUCCAUCAAAUUCUGGAAACAUCUUCGCGAAUUGAUGGCAAUCACAGCACCUAGAUCGGUGCUCUGAUACCAAUUGAUGAAACCCUGAUAUUAUUCAACAGAAAAAUGUACAAGAAAAAGAUGAGUAUUCGAGAGACUCAUCACUCUCCUAAUUCCCAAUUCCCAAAUGAUCCCAAAGAUACUAAACCCUCUUUACACUCCCUUAUUUAUAGGCUAAGCCUUAACAAACUAACUAACUCUAUGGUAACUAACUAACUGACUCCAACUUCCAAGUACUCAUCAGGGUCAUUGUGACAAGUAAGACACAUAAGGUGAAGUAGAAAAAGCUAAAACUAAGAUAUGGUCUUCAAAAUCAGAACUGAGAUCACAGUUUUCCUUCUUAAAGUCUGCAUAUGAAUUUCUCUUUUCUCCAACUAAUGUACUUCUUCUAUCAAUUUUAUAACUCACUCAAUGAUGAUGUGAUCCAUUUUUGUUGUUAUAAUGUUAUGUAUCUGUCUGGUGUCUCUGCUUGCCAUUUUCUAUUUUAGAAAGUCACAAUAUCUUACUUUUAUUUAGAUUACUUUGUAGGCUUAAUAAAACUUGAUGCGAAAAUGACAGUUGGCUGCAGCAGUAAGAGAGUUUUAUACCACGUGUGUUGGUCCACCAUAAGGCACCGUGCGGUUUUCUUUUUUGGUUACUUUAUGUUACUUUAGUGGGUUGUAAUGAACUUUAUUUGCCUUUCCACCGCUUUUCUACUUUUUCUGAAAUGAAACUUACCCUUCAUUGUUCUCCUUAGUUUGAUAUGUGUUAUUAAUUUUUGUGUUUAUGUAGUUUGUGGCUGAUGGCUUUUCUCUUCGCUCGGCUGAACGAGGUUCUGACCCGAAAGCUUGCUGAGGAGUGAGGACAGAUACUCGGGUGUGGAGGUUAGGGUCACUCCAGCGAAAACUGAGAUCAUCAUCAGAGCCACUCGAACCCAGGCCGUUCUAGACUUCUAGGUGAGAAGGGAAGGAGAAUUAGGGAGCUUACCUUAGUGGUAUCGAAGAGGUUCAAGUUUCCUGAAAACAGUGUAGAACUCUAUGCUGAAAAGGUCAACAACAGGGGCCUUUGUGCUAUUGCCCAAGCGGAGUCCCUCCGCUACAAGCUCCUUGGUGGCCUAGCUCUUUUUACUGUUUUUGUUCUAGGCUCUGAAGAAUAGAAUAUGAACACUUGCUUUGAGCAUACAAUACGAAACUGUAUUGCCCUUCUAUGCUAAAGUUUUCACCAAGUGACCCAACCAAAUUAUUGGUGGCUUCUGCUGACUCACAUGUCUUUAUACGUUCCAGAAUGGAUGUCAUCUACAAAUUCGAAGGCCUAAAAAUUGCAGGUCAGAUGCAAGCUUCCUUCACCUCUGAUGGGAAACAAUGUCUCAGUUAGCGAGGGUUCAAUUCAAAUGUUGUAUUUGGAACUUCCCUUUCGUUUGUUGCUGCUGGUUCUAUUGCUUGCUGCUGGUUUUUUUGCUCUUCUGCAGCCUUAGUUCCUUUGCCGCACUUUCUGUUUUUCUUUCUACUGGUUCGCGUUUUCGCGUCCUGUUUCUUUAUAAUUGGGUUUGUAGCACCCAUAAUGCUACAAUUCAUUUAUUCAUUGGCCUUUCAGAAAAAAUAUUGGCCAUGACAGGAAUACUUCCAAAACAAAGAUAUUUUGGUUUUGAGUCAAUGCCAGGAACAAAGUUGUUGCA